RNAcentral lists this non-coding RNA (26 nucleotides) under Mus musculus (house mouse). Lineage: Eukaryota; Metazoa; Chordata; Mammalia; Rodentia; Muridae. The record is from RNAcentral.
UGAGAUUUGUCACUGUGCUCAGAAAG